Molecule: long non-coding RNA, 324 nt
Organism: Neltuma alba
Lineage: Eukaryota; Viridiplantae; Streptophyta; Magnoliopsida; Fabales; Fabaceae
Exons: 3
Source: RefSeq, a predicted model, not a curated record
AUUUUUGAAUGGCAAAAACGGUGGCAAUAGAUCAACACCAAGAAAGAACAAGAAGAAUAGUUGGGACAUAGUGAGUUAGUGACUGCUGAAUCCCUUACCACACUUCGCUUAUUUUUGGAGUAUGUGGGCGGAAAAAUUCUUGUUCUUAUGAAUUACCCAGCAUUAAUGGCCUCCCAGCUAGCUUACGCUUGGAACCAGUGGAGGGGAGGUGAGACGCCAUUAGAAAUAAUGGAUCCGAAGUUGAAAGAAAGUAGUUGUGAAGCAGAAGUGAUGAAGUGCAUCCAGAUUGGAUUAUUGUGUGUUCAAGAGAAAGCAGAGGUAUAG